GACGAACGCUGGCGGCGUGCUUAACACAUGCAAGUCGAACGGAAAGGCCCUGCUUUUGUGGGGUGCUCGAGUGGCGAACGGGUGAGUAACACGUGAGUAACCUGCCCUUGACUUUGGGAUAACUUCAGGAAACUGGGGCUAAUACCGGAUAGGAGCUCCUGCUGCAUAGUGGGGGUUGGAAAGUUUCGGCGGUUGGGGAUGGACUCGCGGCUUAUCAGCUUGUUGGUGGGGUAGUGGCUUACCAAGGCUUUGACGGGUAGCCGGCCUGAGAGGGUGACCGGCCACAUUGGGAAUGAGAUACGGCCCAGACUCCUACGGGAGGCAGCAGUGGGGAAUAUUGCACAAUGGGCGGAAGCCUGAUGCAGCAACGCCGCGUGCGGGAUGACGGCCUUCGGGUUGUAAACCGCUUUCGCCUGUGACGAAGCGUGAGUGACGGUAAUGGGUAAAGAAGCACCGGCUAACUACGUG
Molecule: ribosomal RNA, 468 nt
Filed under: uncultured bacterium
Lineage: Bacteria
Description: partial 16S ribosomal RNA
Rfam family: Bacterial small subunit ribosomal RNA
Source: RNAcentral